GACGAACGUUGGCGGCGUGCUUAAUACAUGCAGGUCAACUGAAGCAGUGGUAGCAAUAUCGCUGUGGAGGUGGCGCACGGGUGAGUAACACGUAGGUAAUCUGCCUUCAGGUCUGGCAUAACUCCGGGAAACCGGGGCUAAUAGCAGAUGAUGCAGCGGCUCGACAUCGAGACAGUUGUUAAAGCUAUGGCGCCUGAAGAUGAGCCUGCGUCUGAUUAGCUAGUUGGCGGGGUAACGGCCCACCAAGGCAACGAUCAGUAGCUGGUCUGAGAGGAUGAUCAGCCACACUGGAACUGAGACACGGUCCAGACUCCUACGGGAGGCAGCAGUAAGGAAUAUUGCUCAAUGGGAGAAGUCCUGAAGCAGCAACGCCGCGUGAGGGACGAAGGGCUUUUGCUUGUAAACCUCUGUAGUGAGAGAAAAAAAUCCCAAUCUUUGGGACAUGAUGGUAUCUCAAAAGUAAGCCCCGGCUAACUACGUG
This 481-nucleotide ribosomal RNA is filed under the name uncultured bacterium. RNAcentral describes it as "partial 16S ribosomal RNA". It matches the Rfam family "Bacterial small subunit ribosomal RNA", at positions 28 to 507 of the family's 1533-position model. The record is from RNAcentral.